RNAcentral lists this ribosomal RNA (434 nucleotides) under uncultured bacterium. Its description in RNAcentral is "partial 16S ribosomal RNA". It matches the Rfam family "Bacterial small subunit ribosomal RNA", at positions 29 to 507 of the family's 1533-position model. The record is from RNAcentral.
ACGAACGCUGGCGGCAUGCCUAACACAUGCAAGUCGAACGGGUACCUUCGGGUGCUAGUGGCACACGGGUGCGUAACGCGUGGGAAUCUGCCCUUGGGUUCGGAAUAACUCAGCGAAAGCUGUGCUAAUACCGGAUGAUGUCGAAAGACCAAAGAUUUAUCGCUCGAGGAUGAGCCCGCGUUGGAUUAGCUAGUUGGUGGGGUAAAGGCCUACCAAGGCGACGAUCCAUAGCUGGUCUGAGAGGAUGAUCAGCCACACUGGGACUGAGACACGGCCCAGACUCCUACGGGAGGCAGCAGUGGGGAAUAUUGGACAAUGGGCGAAAGCCUGAUCCAGCAAUGCCGCGUGAGUGAUGAAGGCCUUAGGGUUGUAAAGCUCUUUUACCCGGGAUGAUAAUGACAGUACCGGGAGAAUAAGCUCCGGCUAACUCCGUG